RNAcentral lists this microRNA precursor (55 nucleotides) under Schistosoma curassoni. RNAcentral describes it as "mir-3492 microRNA precursor family". It matches the Rfam family "mir-3492 microRNA precursor family", at positions 1 to 55 of the family's 79-position model. The record is from Rfam by way of RNAcentral. Lineage: Eukaryota; Metazoa; Platyhelminthes; Trematoda; Strigeidida; Schistosomatidae.
AGCUUUUUGCAUCUGUACUGAGAUUUCGUCAGACACCAACCCAUUAGGGCUGAUG